Zonotrichia leucophrys gambelii is the source of this 938-nucleotide long non-coding RNA. RefSeq lists it as uncharacterized. The record is from RefSeq and is a predicted model, not a curated record. The transcript has 6 exons. Lineage: Eukaryota; Metazoa; Chordata; Aves; Passeriformes; Passerellidae.
GGAGAGGGUAUGGUCGCGUUUUGGGUUGCUCAAAUUACUUUGGCAAGUGGUGCUUGCAUCAGAAGGGCUCUGAACCAGACAGUUGAGAGUACUUGAUAGUUCCUUUCUCCCCAGAAUACACAGGUGCUGAACUCCAUGGAGAACUCCCUGGGUGUCAGUUGGGAUCCAGGACCUGAUGUGGAUAAUUACCUCUUGAUUAUCCAGCUGGGUACGAAAUGUUGGUGAAACAAAUCCAUGUGCCCAAAGAGAGCUCAGCUAUGAGAUUGUGAGAUUCCACCCUGGCACUAUGUACAUUGUCACACUUCCAUCACAUGUGAAGGGGAUUGCCAGUGAGCCCAAGCAUCUAGAAGCAAGUACAGGAGUCAUUAGCCCAACCAAUGUGACAGCCAACUGAGUGACAGAAGAUACCACCACUGGCUCAUGGAAUAAGAUGGAGGCUCCCUUAGACAGACAGGUAGAUGGGGAGAUACACCUUGGCUGGUGGAGACACCAAUGAAAUAGAGGUGGGCAGUGAAAAUGACAUGAUCACCUUCUGGAUCUGAAGCCAGACAUGGAAUGUCACCAACAACUGGCCAGGGAAGCAAGAAGGCAAGCACCAGAGCUGUGACAGGGGAUGCAAGGACCUACCACAGUGGCUGGAAGUUCACAACAUGGGAAGGGGACAAUGAUGUGGCUCUAAGCAGCUGUGCCCUGACACACCACAGUGCAUGGUGGCACAAGCACUCCACCUGGGAAAGCUCAAAGCGAGACCCGAGGAGAGCAAUCACUGUGAGGGUGUGAACUGGGAGUCAUGGAAAGGACAUGAAUUCUCCAUCUCUUUUAUCUGUCCUCAGUCUUCCAGUAAUGAGCCAGUCCUGGGGAGGAGGAAGAAGUCUUUAUCAGAGAAGAGGAAAAAGAUCAGGGCUUAAAUAGAACUCUGCAGAACAACUCAAAGAUAA